GAGGAUGCAAGCGUUAUCCGGAUUUAUUGGGUUUAAAGGGUGCGUAGGCUGAAGAUCAAGUCAGCGGUGAAAUGUCCCGGCUCAACCGGGGCCUUGCCGUUGAAACUGGUCAUCUGGAAUGCGGAUGCCGUGGGAGGAAUGUGUGGUGUAGCGGUGAAAUGCAUAGAUAUCACACAGAACACCGAUUGCGAAGGCAUCUCACGAAUCCGCUAUUGACGCUGAGGCACGAAAGCGUGGGGAUCAAA
This 245-nucleotide ribosomal RNA is filed under the name uncultured bacterium. RNAcentral describes it as "partial 16S ribosomal RNA". It matches the Rfam family "Bacterial small subunit ribosomal RNA", at positions 528 to 772 of the family's 1533-position model. The record is from RNAcentral.